AGAGUCGACCAGACAAUCGCGCUUUUACGCUCUCUAGUUAGAGCAUAAAAGGGAGGAAAGUCCGGGCUCCAUAGGGUAGAACGCCAGAUAACAUCUGGGCAGCGCGAGCUGACGGCAAGUGCAGCAGAGAGAAGACCGCCCCUCACCUAACUUCACAGAAGCUAGGUGAGGGGUAAGGGUGAAAGGGUGCGGUAAGAGCGCACCGCGCAACGGGUAACCGUUUGUGGCAAGGUAAACCCCGUUCGGAGCAAAAUCAAAUAGGAAUACAUUGACGCGACCCGCGUCGUAUUCGGGUAGAUUGCUUGAGGAUUAUGGCGACAUAAUUCCAGAUGAAUGAUUGUCCACGACAGAACCCGGCUUAUCGGUCGACUCUAUUU
This 377-nucleotide RNase P RNA is filed under the name Leucothrix mucor. RNAcentral's name for it is "RNase P RNA component class A". It matches the Rfam family "Bacterial RNase P class A". From Rfam's summary of the family: Ribonuclease P (RNase P) is a ubiquitous endoribonuclease, found in archaea, bacteria and eukarya as well as chloroplasts and mitochondria. Lineage: Bacteria; Pseudomonadati; Pseudomonadota; Gammaproteobacteria; Thiotrichales; Thiotrichaceae. The record is from RNAcentral.